ACCAAGGCGACGAUCCGUAGCUGGUCUGAGAGGAUGAUCAGCCACACUGGAACUGAGACACGGUCCAGACUCCUACGGGAGGCAGCAGUGGGGAAUAUUGGACAAUGGGCGCAAGCCUGAUCCAGCCAUACCGCGUGGGUGAAGAAGGCCUUCGGGUUGUAAAGCCCUUUUGUUGGGAAAGAAAAGCAGUCGAUUAAUACUCGGUUGUUCUGACGGUACCCAAAGAAUAAGCACCGGCUAACUUCGUGCCAGCAGCCGCGGUAAUACGAAGGGUGCAAGCGUUACUCGGAAUUACUGGGCGUAAAGCGUGCGUAGGUGGUUGUUUAAGUCUGUUGUGAAAGCCCUGGGCUCAACCUGGGAAUUGCAGUGGAUACUGGACGACUAGAGUGUGGUAGAGGGUAGUGGAAUUCCCGGUGUAGCAGUGAAAUGCGUAGAGAUCGGGAGGAACAUCCAUGGCGAAGGCAGCUACCUGGACCAACACUGACACUGAGGCACGAAAGCGUGGGGAGCAAACAGGAUUA
RNAcentral lists this ribosomal RNA (521 nucleotides) under Stenotrophomonas rhizophila. RNAcentral describes it as "bacterial SSU rRNA". It matches the Rfam family "Bacterial small subunit ribosomal RNA", at positions 267 to 780 of the family's 1533-position model. Lineage: Bacteria; Pseudomonadati; Pseudomonadota; Gammaproteobacteria; Lysobacterales; Lysobacteraceae. The record is from RNAcentral.